Molecule: small nuclear RNA, 107 nt
Organism: Phacochoerus africanus (Common warthog)
Lineage: Eukaryota; Metazoa; Chordata; Mammalia; Artiodactyla; Suidae
Source: RefSeq, a predicted model, not a curated record
GUGCUCAUUUCAACAGCACAUAUAUUAAAAUUGGAACGAUACAGAGAGGAUUAUCAUGGCCCCUGCACAAGGAUGACAUGCAAAUUUGUGAAGCGGUCCAUAUUUGC